CCUACGUGUGGCAGCAGUGGGGAAUAUUGCACAAUGGGCGAAACCCUGAUCCAGCGACGCCGCGUGAGUGAAGAAGUCAUUCGUUGUGUUAAGCUCUAUUAGCAGGGAAGCAAAUGACGGUACCUGAGUAAGAAGCCACAGCUAACUACGUGACAGCAGCCGGGGUAAUACGGAGGGGGCAAGCGUUAUUCGGAAUUACUGGGUGUAAAGGGAGCGUUGGUGGGUGUGAAGGUCGGGCGUGAAAGGUGCGGGCUCAACCCCCGGACUGCGCUGGAAACUGUACGGCUGGAGUGCAGGAGAGGUAAGUGGAAUGCCUGGUGUAGCGGUGAAAUGCGUAGAUAUUAGGAGGAACACCAGUGGCGAAGGCAGCUUACUGGACUGUAACUGACGUUGAGGCACGAAAGCGUGGGGAGCAAACAGGAUUAGAUACCCCAGUAGUC
This 440-nucleotide ribosomal RNA is filed under the name uncultured bacterium. RNAcentral's name for it is "partial 16S ribosomal RNA". It matches the Rfam family "Bacterial small subunit ribosomal RNA", at positions 338 to 795 of the family's 1533-position model. The record is from RNAcentral.